RNAcentral lists this ribosomal RNA (496 nucleotides) under uncultured bacterium. RNAcentral describes it as "partial 16S ribosomal RNA". It matches the Rfam family "Bacterial small subunit ribosomal RNA", at positions 28 to 506 of the family's 1533-position model. The record is from RNAcentral.
GAUGAACGCUGGCGGCGUGCCUAAUACAUGCAAGUCGAGCGAACAGAUGAUGAGCUUGCUCCUCUGACGUUAGCGGCGGACGGGUGAGUAACACGUGUAUAACCUACCUAUAAGACUGGGAUAACUUCGGGAAACCGGAGCUAAUACCGGAUAAUAUAUUGAACCGCAUGGUUCAAUAGAGAAAGACGGUUUUGCUGUCACGUAUAGAUGGUUCCGGGCCGUAUUAGCUAGUUGUUAAGGUAACGGCUUACCACGGCAACGAUGCGUAGCCGACCUGAGGGGGUGAACGGCCACUCAGGAGGUGAGACGCGGUCCAGGGUCCGAGGGGAGGCAGAAGUAGGGAAUGGACGGAAAUGGGCGGAAGACUGACGGAGGAACGCAGGGGGGGUGAAGAAGGUCUGCGUGUGGUAAAACGGUGUUAUUGGGGAAGAACAAAUGUGUAAGUAACUAUGCGCGACUUGAGGGUACGGGAAAAGAAGAACACGGCUAACUACGG